GCUAGAUGCCGGCCGAGGCGACGCGCCCUUCCGGCCAUUUUGAUCCUUCGAUGUCGGCUCUUCCUAUCAUUGUGAAGCAGAAUCCACCAAGCGUUGGAUUGUUCACCCACUAAUAGGGAACGUGAGCUUGGUUUAGUCCGUCGCGAGACAGGUU
This is a non-coding RNA of Pelobates cultripes (western spadefoot toad), 154 nucleotides long. The record is from the annotation of a GenBank genome assembly. Lineage: Eukaryota; Metazoa; Chordata; Amphibia; Anura; Pelobatidae.